GCAAACUUGGUCAUUUAGAGGAAGUAAAAGUCGUAACAAGGUUUCCGUAGGUGAACCUGCGGAAGGAUCAUUACAAGAAAACCGUCUUCGGAUGGAUUUCCACACCAUUGUGUACCAAACUUUUGUUGCUUUGGCGGGUUGGUCUGCCUACCCGGCAGACCCCCUUCGGGGAGUCGCCCGCCAGAGGACCUUCAAAACCAGUUCGUUGAUGAACGUCUGAUUAAACUUUUUAAAAGAAAUACAACUUUCAACAAUGGAUCUCUUGGCUCUGGCAUCGAUGAAGAACGCAGC
Molecule: unclassified non-coding RNA, 291 nt
Filed under: uncultured fungus
Lineage: Eukaryota; Fungi
Description: partial contains small subunit ribosomal RNA, internal transcribed spacer 1, and 5.8S ribosomal RNA
Rfam family: Eukaryotic small subunit ribosomal RNA (bases 1-73)
Source: RNAcentral